RNAcentral lists this ribosomal RNA (207 nucleotides) under uncultured bacterium. RNAcentral's name for it is "partial 16S ribosomal RNA". It matches the Rfam family "Bacterial small subunit ribosomal RNA", at positions 568 to 774 of the family's 1533-position model. The record is from RNAcentral.
UGCGCAGGCGGGACUGCAAGUUGGAUGUGAAAUACCGAGGCUCAACCUCGGAGCUGCAUCCAAAACUGUAGUUCUUGAGUGAAGUAGAGGUAAGCGGAAUUCCGAGUGUAGCGGUGAAAUGCGUAGAUAUUCGGAGGAACACCAGUGGCGAAGGCGGCUUACUGGGCUUUAACUGACGCUGAGGCACGAAAGCAUGGGGAGCAAACA